UUUAACUGAGCGUUCAGUUACUUGACGUAGACCCGAAACCGGGCGACCUACCCAUGAGCAGGAUGAAGCGAAAGUAAAAUUUCGUGGAGGUCCGAACCCACGAGCGUUGAAAAGCUCGGGGAUGACUUGUGGGUAGCGGUGAAAUUCCAAUCGAGCCCGGAGAUAGCUGGUUCUCCCCGAAAUAGCUUUAGGGCUAGCCUCAAGGUGAGAGAUACGGAGGUAGAGCACUGAAUGUCCUAGGGGGUAUUGCACCUACCGAAGACUAUCAAACUCCGAAUGCCGUCAUCUUAUACUUGGGAGUCAGACUGUGGGUGAUAAGAUUCAUAGUCGAAAGGGCAACAGCCCAGAUCGUCAGCUAAGGUCCCUAAAUGUAAGUUAAGUGGUAAAGGAUGUGGGAUUGCACAGACAACCAGGAUGUUGGCUUAGAAGCAGCCACUCAUUCAAAGAGUGCGUAAUAGCUCACUGGUCGAGUGAUCCUGCGCCGAAGAUUUCCGGGGCUAAAACUUACUACCGAAGCUACGGCAUCAGUAAUGAUGGGUAGGGGAGCUUCCCAUACGGGUUGAAGCAUGACCGUAAGGACAUGUGGACAGUAUGGGAGUGAGAAUGUUGGCAUGAGUAGCGAGAUGUGGGUGAGAAUCCCACAGGCCGUAAACCCAAGGUUUCCAGGGGAAGGUUCGUCCGCCCUGGGUUAGUCGGGACCUAAGCUGAGGCCGAAAGGCGU
This 721-nucleotide ribosomal RNA is filed under the name Clostridioides difficile. RNAcentral describes it as "partial 23S ribosomal RNA". It matches the Rfam family "Bacterial large subunit ribosomal RNA", at positions 683 to 1412 of the family's 2925-position model. The record is from RNAcentral. Lineage: Bacteria; Bacillati; Bacillota; Clostridia; Peptostreptococcales; Peptostreptococcaceae.